UAAAAACUAAAUAAAGCUUAUAUAAAAGUCAUAAUAAGGAUGACAAGUUUCUACCUGCAACCGUAAAUUCGCAGACUAUAAGCAUAUAGUU
RNAcentral lists this non-coding RNA (91 nucleotides) under fish gut metagenome. RNAcentral describes it as "Purine riboswitch". It matches the Rfam family "Purine riboswitch aptamer". From Rfam's summary of the family: Riboswitches are metabolite binding domains within certain messenger RNAs that serve as precision sensors for their corresponding targets. The record is from RNAcentral.